Long non-coding RNA from Eriocheir sinensis (Chinese mitten crab), 150 nucleotides. RefSeq lists it as uncharacterized. The transcript has 3 exons. The record is from RefSeq and is a predicted model, not a curated record. Lineage: Eukaryota; Metazoa; Arthropoda; Malacostraca; Decapoda; Varunidae.
GUGGGUGAUGAGGGUGUGGAAGAUGAAGGUGUGGGUGAUGAGGGUGUGGAGGAUGAAGGUGUGGGUGAUGAGGGUGUGGAGGAUGAAGGUGUGGGUGAUGAGGGUGUGGAAGAUGAAGGUGUGGGUGAUGAGGGUGUGGAGGAUGAAGGU